AGACGACUUAAAAUGUGAAAAUUAAGAGAUUCCGACUUCUCUCAGCACCACAAACCUCAGCAGUCUGACAGCAUUUCACUUUGGAAAACGAGAAAACAGGUUGGAAGGAGUCUCCAGUACCAGCGCUUCGUAACAGUCAGAGGCAGGCAGGAAGGCAAGACGUUGGGAGGGACCGCAGUACGAAUGCUGCUGCAGAAGAAGAAGAAGAAGCUUAUGAAUGACUGACGCUCUCCUGAUGCACACUUCCUGUGGACGGUUUUUACAUGAAUGGCGUGUUCUCUCUCUCUCUCUCUCUCUCUCUCUCUCUCUCUCUCUCUCUCUCUCUCUCUCUCCACCCUGGAUUAACGCAGCGGGCUCCUCUCUGCCAGCUGGCUCUCAAUGAAGCAGAGAAAGAUCGGCUCUUCUGAUUUAUCCCGCCGUUCAUUCAGAUCCCGGACUCACUUCUUUAGCGUCGUGGCUUUUUGAAACGACAAUCCAUUUUUUUUUAUUCAACACGAGAAAAGAAACUAAGCGUGUCUUAGUCUUAGUCUUGGAGGAAUUUAUGAUUAAAUGUGAUCGUUGCCUAGGGGAAUUUGUGAUUAGGUAGCAAGGGCUGUCAUUUCGGUGAUGUAUUUGAAUAUGUAGGGGGGAACAUGGAGAAGUGUUGUAUAAAGAAGGGGAAAACGUCUCUGGGUUUAUGCUGUGAUUGAGAGAAUUUGGUAACCAUGGAGAAGCAGUGAUAUAAGCGCUGUUUAGAAUGAGGCACAUCAACACGGCAGAGACUCAGACGCAUUUUCAUUUUAGAUAUUAAAUAUAUAUAUGUAUAUAUAUAUAUAUAUA
Long non-coding RNA from Ictalurus punctatus (channel catfish), 819 nucleotides. Lineage: Eukaryota; Metazoa; Chordata; Actinopteri; Siluriformes; Ictaluridae. The record is from Ensembl.